AAGACUUUUCUGACGCUCACCUCCCCAAAGUGCAAGUGGGGAGAGAGAAAUGAGGUGGUGGCACUAUCAGCCUUUCUUCUAUUCUUAGAGUACUCAAUUAGAGGUCCAUUAAUGAAUGUGGUCAAAGCCUUAUCAGCAUUACUCCAACCAGGUGACCAUGCUCGAGCUAAAAGCGCAUUGCUUCCCUUCUCUGAUUCAUCUUCAAACACCAAUUCAUCCGAAUGGCAAGUUGUCACAUCGCCUAAAAAAGGGAGACACAAUAAGUAUGUACUACUUGAACAAGGAUAAUACGUAGUUCAAUAUAAUUUCCAGGAACAUAAAUCAAAAGGCUAAAAGGUUUCAAUUUUCAAACCAAGCCUGGCACUUAUAUUGUUGAAGCCCAACGAAGUUCCAAGAGGGGCAAUGGUUGAUAAUGGAGAUCAACAAGUGAAGAACAGAAUUCAAUGGAAACCAACCUGAAAUGAUUCUCUUAGGAGGAAGAAGUGGAGCCUCAGGGUCAUAGGGCAUGCUCAGGCAUCUUUCCCAGAAAGAAGAAAAAGUAGUGAAAGGGCGUCCUUGAGCAUCAUUUACAUCCCAGGGUUCAUAAAGUAAAUCUGCAUUGAACGAUCGAACUGCUACACCAUGGGCUGUUAAUACCUCCUUUGCCCGAUGAUCCCUAACCAGUGAUAUAGGAUCUGAAAAGUGGCAAAUUUCAACUUAACUGUUAAACAUAAGAGCCUUUUCUAGGGAAAAUAAAGAACCUGACAGUACAAAUUCGUUUAAUCAGUUAAAGACACUAAAACUUAGACACCUGUUUGAAAGAAACUACGGUCAUUAUAGCUGGAACUGGCCAAUCUUAGUAGUGUCGACAAAUUAAAGGACAAUUAAUAUGCAACCUCGAGGAAAAGAAAACUGAACACGCCUGGGAAAACUAAAAUUGCAAAAGGCCAAUCACUCAAUAAGAAAAGAAAAGCAAAAAAUGCAGGUCUGCCUAGUGGAUGACAAGAAUCCAUCUCAAUUUAUGCAAAUCUCAUAAGACUGGGUUAUUAUAUUAGAAACAGAAUAAAAAAAAGCAAAACCCUCAAGGAAGGUUAGAAGAGAAGAAUAAAUGGAAAUAAAAUAUUGCCUCAACUUGAUCCAUAUAAUCCCCACGCAACCCAACAUAAUAAAUAAAUAAGCUUUUGUUAUUAAUACCCAACAUAAUAAAUAAGAUUAAAAAAAGGAUACAUAAUCUUCCCCUUUGUUUUUCCCUCAGUUAAUCAACAAAGAGGGAGAUAGGAAAUGAAAAGAAAACUAACCAUACAAGUGAUUGAAGAAGAGCUGAGUAGCACCAGUAGAUUUAACAACCUCAAGCAGAGAGGAAACACUAUCAGAAGAUCUCUUAGCGAUGAGACAAGUACCAAGGCUCCUCAAAGAAGAAUCAAGGUGAGCCAAACUGUGCUUCAGCCACCACCUUGACACCCUUCCAGGGUAAUAAUGGCCUUCUUCUUCAGGUGCCCAUACAAAAA
RNAcentral lists this long non-coding RNA (1487 nucleotides) under Gossypium barbadense (sea-island cotton). RNAcentral's name for it is "long non-coding RNA (GBAR_LNC016211)". Lineage: Eukaryota; Viridiplantae; Streptophyta; Magnoliopsida; Malvales; Malvaceae. The record is from RNAcentral.